CGCGGGGUAGAGCAGCCCGGUAGCUCGUCAGGCCCAUAACCUGGAGGUCGGUGGUUCAAAUCCACCCCCCGCAA
Molecule: transfer RNA, 74 nt
Filed under: Elusimicrobia bacterium CG06_land_8_20_14_3_00_38_11
Lineage: Bacteria; Pseudomonadati; Elusimicrobiota
Description: tRNA-Met
Rfam family: tRNA
About the family: Transfer RNA (tRNA) molecules are approximately 80 nucleotides in length.
Source: RNAcentral